UCCAACAUGCAGCCUCCUGGUAAGAACUUCAAGCUUAGCACCCAUGCAAACUAAUGCAGGGAUGUCAGGGUUUAACUCAUUGGAUUAUUUCAGGUUAGCUGAAGUAACACUGUCAUAACAAUGGACGAGGUGCAUUUUUUGAACGUUGAUUGUUUUAGUUAAUAUUUACACUUGUUAUAUCUUGCAUCGCAUUGCCUUUAUAAAUGAAGAUACAAUCAGGAAUUUGUAAUGAGGCAUUUUUGCGCUCUGCAUUAUUUUACAGAUGUCGACAAAUGCAAAACAUCCCAAUUUAAGUGAGCUGAGCGCAUUUGCUAUGUACUUUUCCUGACCUCCAUAUUGUAAUAACUGGAGUGUUAUUUGCUGCAUAUCAUCUGUAGUCUGAAAAUAAUUAGUAUGUGAUGACUGUGCAGAAUGCUGCUGCGGGGUUUUACAGUAAGGAAGAGUCAAUGCGUGUGCUCAUGUAAUCGAUAGCUCUGUAGAUCUCCCACUUUCCCAGACUAUGGGACAUGUCAACGAGGAUCCCAUACACGUGCACGAUCAGAGCAUGUUUUCCUGUGCAAGUUUGGAAGGCAAUCAUUUAUACACGCUCGCAAAAUGUGUCUUGUAAAAAUUUAACAGUCGACCUGAAGGUAACAAGGUGCGGCGUCCUUGUCCUUUCCCUCUUUGCAACACCACCCCCCCCUUCUCCAUCUCACGGUACGUCCUGACCAUCAUCAUCCCCAUCACGAGAGCACAUGGAAGCGAUCAGAGGACGAGAGUCUGGAUUUUCUUUUCGGCCUCCCCCAUGUGGACAUCAUAGGAACUGCAUGCAUUGAGGCCGUUUAGAGGUAAAUAUGGGUGCUGUCGGCCUCCUGCAGAGUUUGCAAUGUCAUACAAUGUCAAGGAGGGCUUCAUCAAGGACAUAACAUUUGAAUACUGGACCAAAGUAUCAACUUGCUGUCAUGCCUCUUUGUGACUCCGGUAAUACCAAGUCGCCCUGUGCCCUCGUUCUCCUUUACUGAACUUGAACCCAGACAAGUGCAAGCAAGUCCCGGAGGACAGGUUUGAUGGGCUACUGUUAAUAGUUUUCCUGUGUGUGCAUACACAUACAGCAGGCUCCAAGAUGAACAUGAUAACAGCCAAACAUUGCCUGCACCUGAAACGGCAGUGUUUCCCUAAUGAAUUGCAUGAUAGUACACAGACAAACGUUCUACAACUAUGACAUCUCACUUUGUAUGAAUGAAUUCUCUGGAUGAGUACUAAUGCACGUACAGUUUCUACAGUUUUUUUUUCUCCCUUCACCUUUUAGCACUGUGGGUCAUAUCGAGUUCUCAGCAGGGAGAAUGCUGACACAGUGAUAGCAUCAACAAGAUGGUGCAAAGUGAUGACAAGUUUGCAGAAUCAGCCUGCCUGACGAGGCGAGAGGUCACGGGUGAUUGAAGCACGUAGUUUGUUAGUCAUGCCAUCAUCGUUAAGAAAUGAGCCAAGGAUUAGUUACCUCAAUCGUACAUUUUCAUGACAAAGUGCCCAUUCAGCUUGGGAACAAACACAAGCUCAGGCAUAUUUUGUUUUUGUUAACAUGUUUUCAUUUUUAAUUAAUUUGCAGUAUCAACAAUAACUCAUCUAAGCAUUUCUCUCAAAUGUUGGACGUAGAGGAAAUCAUAUGAAGAGUAUAGCGUAAAAGUAUAUACUCCUACCGGUCAUAUACAGUAUUGUUAACUUUGACUCAUUUCUCAAAUGGCAGGUCUUAGGUACACACUGCACAUUACUGGACUUUUUUUUUGUAAAAUUCACCGUUUUGCAACUUUGUCAUAUUUCAAAAUAACUACCACAGCCAUCUUUUUUUCAUGCCGUAAAUGAAAAUGUUAUUUUAGCGAUGAUACAAUGGCUAAUACUUCCUGGUUCACGGUGGGAGAUGAACAAAUGGUUGCUGUCAAGCGUUCCAUUGUUGUCAUAAUCACUCAAACUGUGGAUAUAAUUAUUUGGAGCUUUAAUUCAUUGCACCAUUUUGCAGGUCCUCACCACGGGCCCAUAUAACGAAACUCUACAUCAGGAGUGUCAAACUCGUUUUCACUGAGGGCCACAUCAACGGUCAACAUAAGGACUAUAAAUAUGAUUAUAAGAUCAUGAUAUUGUUAUGCAAUUGCCCAUGCAUUUGAUUAAUAUAUUUUUGACUACCAAAUUGUGAAGUAACAAUUUCAAGGUGUCAAAGCAGACAUUCAAGUAUUUCUUUUCGAGAAUAAAAAAUGCCGGGAGUAUCUUGUUGCAUGAUCAGACAGUAUUCAAGUUUAGAAGAACCGCACGCAGUACAAUGUUUCUGUUCAAAUGCAAGAAAUACAUUUACGAGGAAAAAGGUGCAUUAUUGACACAUUCAUCCCAGGCUUUUGCGGGCCACAUAAAAAGAUGCGGCAGGCCACGUCUGGCCCCGGGGCCUUCAGUUUGACACUUGUGCUCUACAUCCUAGGUCCUCAAUAGGCGGCCCGCGGUCCAUAUCAGGUCCACCAAAUCUUUUCAUUUGGCCUGCCGAACAUCACCUAAAUAAUGUAAACAGGGGUCACCAACGUGGUGCCCGCGGGCACCAGGUAGCCCCCCCACGACCACAUGAGGUGCUGCAAGCCUGCUUUUCAUUCAGGUUUUCAGUUAAUAAUGAAAGAACAGUAGAAAGAAAUGCAUUCUGAAAUACAAAAUGUGAGUUGUGGACACCAGCAUUUUGUUCAUGUUCUGGUAAAACAAGCAUAUUUGCUUUGUUUGGCUUUAAAAUAAGCUCUGAAAAUAAAUGUUACAAAAAUGAGUAGCUCUUGGCCAUUUUCAUUUUGUAAAAGUAGCUCUCACAAGGAAAAACGUUGGUGACCCCUGCUGUAAACCAAUUAAUCUAACUAGAGAAGUGCUCGUUCAUGCGGUAUUUCUUCCACAGUGAGGCGUAUGUGUCACAAUGAAGCAGUAGUAGAAGACAGCUCACAAAACAAAUAUGACGCUAUCAACUCUAAAAAAUAAAAAUUAAAAAAAAUUAACACUGAAAAUUUGACCUUCAACAGCAACUGAACUACGAAAUAUGCAUUACUGAACAUGCAGUUAGGAAACUGAUGUGUUCAUAACAAGUUAAAUAACAAGUUAAAUGCUGUUUCGAAGGAAUAUAACCUGCUGAAGCACUUUCAGACAAAACAUACAAAUUUUGAUGAAUUCCACCUGGUUUUCAACAUCCAGUGAUGGCAAACGGAAAUGAUCUGUCAGCCUUGUUCAUUGCGGUUUUCUCAAAAGCACCGCGUUCAGUACUACGAGCAAAGUUCUCCAACUGAACUCAUCGAUAAGUAGUACCCGGCUCAGCCCUAGUAACAUCCCUUGUCUUGGAAAUAACACCGCCGCCACAAUUGGCUGUCUUUCAAGCAGCUCUGUUUGUUUAUUCAAGCACAUUUUUACGUGCCAUGAGAGCAACGUCCCGCAACGGUGUGACUACCUGUUUACCCGUUGAGGUAAAGAAGCCGUAUCGAGGCAGCAAAGCCGGCAGCUAAGAUGAAAGUCAAGCGGCUAGCAAGGAAGUGGAGAUUAAAGCUUUUGGAAACUUCUGUUAUCAUAGGAAACUUGAAUUCACUACCGAGCAAGAUUGACGAGCUGGCAAGAACGUGAAGACCUUCAGGGAGUGCAGCUUAUCUGUGCUUCACUAAAUGGCUAACAGCUAGCGUCCCAGAUGCUAACGUGGAGUUAGCCGACUUCAGGACAGUCAGAGCGGACAAGAACACAAGAGCCUGUGGAAAGCGCAAAGAAGGUGGGCUUGCACUGUAUGUGAACAAACCGUGGUGUCAUCCUGGCCAUGUGAACAUUAAAAUGUCCAUCUAUACAGCAUUUUUAAAAAAUUGUUUUUUAUUAUCUGGAAAAAAACAGAUACCUUUUUUUAUGCCAAUAUCGGUCCAAUAAUAUCAGUGGGCUGAUAUUAUCGGACAUCCCUAAUAAUAUCUAUUUACUUUCUCAUCUGUUAUCUUAUUCAUUCUCACUGAACAAGCUAUCCACAAGCUGUACUAUCAAACAGUUUCAUUCUUUUCCAUUACCAUAGAAAAAAAUGGUAAAAUGGUUCAUGCUAAACACAGGAAGUGUACAGCUAUCAGUAAUUGCUGAAGAAAAGAUGCAGAGCAGGAUUAAAUAAGAUCAGCUUCGUCCUACUCCUUUUCAGACAUGUUGAAUUGUGCAAGUGUAAGCAUGUGAUGCUUUGUAACUUGUUUUGCAUGUUCAAAAUAACCCAAACCAUUAGGCUACCAUCUCUAUUACCAAGUGAGCAUAAUGUUGCAUUUUUCUCUUUGUUAUGUAGCUGAGUAGCCUUGUUCGACACAUUAGCUGGAAAUUGCUUUUGUAUUAUUUGUUUAAUCCUGCAGUCCUUACUAUUAUUUACUGUUUUACCAUGCCAAAAUGACAUCUCUGAUCAGGGUAAGUUAAACAACAGAGUAUGUGAGUUAACCCAAAGCCAUUUGUUUUGAACUCCUUCACAUGUGCUGCAUAUACGGUAUGAUUACUAACAGCAAAGCCAAAGAGAGGGAGCAUGUGUGCACCCAGGUAUGUGGUGGGGACCUGAACUGACUCUCUUUUGGGGAAGUUUACAUAUAAACACACUCAACAUGCAGGUGGAAAUAUGGGCCAGUGGUAAAUAAAUAUUCAUAACCUGGAGUCUGGGGUCAUUUUGCAAAUAAUGGAUCUUUUUUUCUCAGAAACCUGGACUUGUCUAUUCCUCAUAUGAAGAACGGGUGAUCAGAACUGAAACAAUGGUAAACAUUCACAUUGUCAGCUUUUUGAACAAUUUCUCACAUUUCAAAUUCUAAACCGUCACAACGUGGUCCACUAAAAAAGCCCACAAAAAUAAUGCUGACGUUGACAGAAAGGUAUUCAUUUAACAUUGCAGUUUUUAGUGUUGGAGAACUGUACCGCAUUUGGUUUGAUUGAUUCAGCUACAUGAGGGGGGCAAAACAUUAGAAACACCUCUGAGCAUGAUGUGGUGCAGUCCAACACGUUUUCUCUAUGGAACACGCAUAGUGGAAGAGCGGCCACAACAGAAGAAGAGGUCAAGGUCGAAAAGCACAUUCAACCUGAUGGAAUCAGGCUACAAUUGUGAAUCAUCUCAAUCUCAGUCCUUACGACUGGGAAAUUGGCUAUGUAUGCACAAAUCUGCUAUCUUUCACUUCUGAAAUGACACUCAUACGCUACACAAUACUCGUUUUCAAUACAGUUAUAUUAACAUAAUGCUUCAGCAUGUUCAGUAUCCAAGCAAGGUGACUGUUGAAAAGUCUCAUUCAAAGUCUCAUUUCAGCAAGGGUCCGCACUGCUCAACCUCAUUUGGUGCUCUUGAACGUCUAAUACAAACACACCACCGACAGGUCUAAGGCACAGCUCCCUCACAUUACUGGUCAGAGCCAUUGUGUUGUGUUCUUGUGUCUUUGUGUUAAGGAAUUGAGACAAUAUACGAUAUGCAAUGAUGACAGCCAUCAAAAUCGAUGCCUUAACAAAGACAGUAAUCCUCACUUUUGAUUGACACUGUCAAAGAACAAUUAACUGAACAAUAAUUGCUAUUGCGGCUGUAGUUUGCAGUGAUAUGGAGCCGCACUGUUUCAACUUAACCCAAAUAUUACAAACAAGUCUUUGGUGUGCAGUUCUACAGCACAGCAAACUACAACUACAAUCAUAAAUAUUUACUACGUAUAAAUUCUGUCAACAUCAGAGCGUCAUUUAGUGUUUGUAUUGGCUCUCGUUGGUACCUAACGACGCUCGUGAGCUGUGACAUUUCGUGACCCAAAUGUAGUUUUUUGAGGAUUAAAAAAAACCAUGUAGCAUUCAAACUGUUAUCCAGUAGAUGGCAGCAUAAGCUCACAGGAAAGAAAAAAAAAAGCCCACAUGCCACAAUACGUUUGUCUUUUGUGUGCAAUGUGUAUCUUUAUUUUUUAUUUUUCAGGUGAUGCUUUCAUUCUGUAAGAUUUUGUUGGACUGUUUGGUAAACGUCGGUUGGCUUUCAGGUCGUUACUCAAAUCGUUUCUUUCACAUAAUGCAGUUUAAGAGAAAACGCUCAGAACAUCACUGGCCAGCAGGUGGCAGUCUAUGCCCGUCAUUUUGGUGAAAGCACUCCAUCUCCAUCAUCAUUAUUGAAAAUUCAUAGUUUAGCGUUAUUAUUUUGCUGCAUAUAAAAACUCUAUAACUCUAUUCUAAUAUUUGAUUGAUUGAUUCAAAUCAUGAUUACCAUUUAUAACAUUUUACUAUUAGGAAAUGCUACUUUUAACAGUUUGUGUAUCUCAGAGAUACCAAGUUCGUCUUUUACCCCACAACAUUAGGCACACCUGCACCAGCUAAGGUGAUGUUAUAGGAGAUGUAUCAACAUGUUUGCCUUUAUCCAAAAACUGUUCAAGUUUGAUUGGACACUGCCAGAGAGGUAUUGCAGUGUGGGGGUACAACACUGCUUAUCUCUCCUAUGUUGCUUUGUUUGUUUGAUUUAAGGUGUUUAGGUUUAGAAGUUAAAAUAUACAGUACAUUGGGUAUUUUCAAUGUUUUCUCUUCUAUCGCCAAAUAUAUCAUCUUGUUCUGAAGACAAUCUGCGGUACUGUGCAUGGAGGAUGUUGAUGUUAUUGUUGCAUUUGCAGAUGUUGAUAUUAUGAAGUGGUAUAAUUUCAAAACUCGUUUUUUGAACAGUAAUCAAAAAAAUGAUACAUUGAGCAUUGUUUUCCUUGUUUUUUUAAUUCAUCAGACGGUGUGGUAACUUCACAGUUCACAUGUGACAUUUACAGGAAUUCGCAGUGUUGUAAACGCACAGUAAAUUAAUGGCAAAUAAUUACAUUACGUUCAAAGUAAAUGUGUAAAACUACAGGCAAUCGACUGAUGUAUGUACAACAGGGCACUGUAAUUCUGCAAUUAACUGUAAAACACUGGAAUUAACUGUAAACAGCUGGAAAGUCAUAACUUUACCGUUAAUUUAGUGUAUAGAGUAAAUGACUGUUGAGAUAUUACACAGCAAAUUACGGUAAAAGUCAUGCAAUUAUUAGCCACCAAUUUACUGUGAAUUUAGAGUAAAAAAGUUACAGCGUGGGAAUCAAAAUCCAACAUUCUUAUCAUUGUAAAAGAAGAAUUUUGGAUACAGCUUUUGAAUUGCGUCUCUUUUUGCAUUGCUCCUGUUCAUCACAACACCUCCUCUCAUGAAAAUAUCUCAGCUGGCGGACCAGGUACAAAGAGGGCGUAUUUAGCGGCAUUCAGGGAAUGUAAUAUUGGCAUUAUAGAUGUCUGCACAGAACUGCACCAAGAAGUUGAAAAGACACCUUUUGAUUAAUGUGAUGCUAUAAAACAUAUCAUUGACAGCUAGGCCCACAUUGCUCAUGGCGCACAGCAGCAUCUGCUGCAUUCCCUCCCCAUCCUUCAUCCGCCCAGCUCCAUCCCCUCCACCAUGAAAGCCGAACAAAUGUGCUGACAUUGACGCCGUCUCUGCACCCGGCCUAAUUUCAUUUCAGCCCCAGAGAGACGGCUAUCUUCAAAAGAUCUUGACAGACAAUUGUAUUUACUAUUUUCUUUUCACAAGCCAAUAAAGGCCGAGCAGUUAUUGCAUCAGAUUAUAUGAAAAAACGUUUAAUGAUUCCAAUUUAUAACUCUAGACUGAAUAAUGAUAGGGCUAAGAGCUGACAGACCAUGAUAAAUGAAGCCUCAUAUAAAACAUAUUUAGUGUGAAGAAUGGCUGGAGAUGAAUUGCACAGUGAUACAAACUCAUGAUAAAGAACAGUAAGAGCCACUAGAAGACUUGAUAAUGUGCUAUUCAUUUUGAAGUGAUUUUGCUGGUUAAUAAAAGAGCACAAAUUAAAAAUAUAUUUAUUGUAGAAAGACAUCUAGGAAUAUUGUCCCGUCGCUCUACAAGCUCACUCAACUGGAGCACUUCCUUUUCUUUACAUUUAAACUGACUUGUUCCGAAUCAUUGCUGACUGCACUUGUUUGCGAAGAGAAAGUGUCAGAAAUCAGAGUAGUUACAUUUGACUGGAGUUGCUGCUUCACGCAGGAAAGGUGUUUUCAAGAUAGCAUCAGAAUCAAAAUCGCAUUGAAAUCAAAUAAGAUGCUAUGUAAGGCAAAUGUGCUUCGUGAUGAAAGACCAGUAACUUACGGUUUGGUAAUAAUAUUUAGUCUCAAAGUAGGGACACAUUUAUAAACUUCCAUGUGGUACCACUUUGAUUGUUCGACCAUACUUUACAAGGCAUCAUGGUCAGACACACCCCUCCCCUUGUAGGCCAAUGUCUAUAAAUAAUAAAAAAAAUAUAUAUCAUAAAAUAUCUCAAAAGCCAACACACACCUUUGUUUUCUGAUUGAUCUAACAAAAUAAGUAAUCCACCCAUUUUGUCCACCAUAUACACCAUCAGUGCCACAGUAGCUGUGUCAAGGGUGACAGCCAAAGACAGACUCAUGCUGCUGUUUGGGUGCAAUUUAAACCCAUAACACAAAAAUGGAGGACGCGUGCAAUAUAUCACCGCGGAGACCUGUUUGGGGGAUGUCUCAAUAGCGUUACGUCAUACAUUUGAAAGUGAAUGAACUUCUUUUCUAUUGAUUUGAUCAAGAGGAAGUCCAUUUCAUCCUGUUUGGUAGUUUUGUAAGGCAAUGUAUGUGCAAAAGUCAGUCCUAUUUUCAUGACACUUCACAGGAGUCAUUUAAUAAAACAGUAAAUGCCGUAGAGCCCCACUUUACACGGGGGGGGUUACCCUGCAGGACCACCAGUGACUGUCUAUUUUUGUCACGGCCAAAUAUUCUGGCCCAUUCUUGUAGCUGACCCGAAUAUUUUGCUCAUGCUAAAAACUUUCGAGGCACAUUAGAAGGGGAAAAAUAUCGAACGGCAUUCGAAAGGUAUUCUAACUGCACUCCGAUUGUAAAUAUUUUUACGGUAUUCUCACAGCAUUCCAAAAAUUCUGAUUGCAUUCGUGGGAGAACCGAAACGGCAAGCCACUUCCAUUCCUGCCAGAAUGUCCCAAUCAUCUCUUGAAUGAGUCUGAAUGGAAUUUGGAACACCUCGUAAUCACGUAAAAGUCAAUUAUUUUCAUUUCCUAGCGUGUUUCUUGGCUACACCGCUUCCAGUAGUGUGCUUGUAGCCUUUGGGCUGUGUCAGACUUUGGUUUUGCCUGUCAGGGCCACCUAGCUGGUCCACAGUGACAUCAGCACUUUUCCAUCUCUCUGAUUGGUUGAUGAGAGCAAAACUGUUCCACAACCAAGUUACACUCACAAUGGCUGACUGAGUAGGAGAAGUUGUCAUGUCUGGUCAGGAGAUGUAUUUUAUUUAAAAGUUUUAUAUUUUUGUUAUUAGAUGGGGAUGUCGUAAGACUUAAAGUCAAAACAUCUGAACUACCUCUUUAAGUCCUACAAUAUUCCUCACACACUUAUUCAUCACAUUUAAAGUAUAAAAUGUAUCGGUACUCACCACUAAUGAAUGUUCAUGUAAGAUGAUCGAUGAACAGAUAGAAUCGGAGUAAGACAUCCUGUCAGGCGGCGUCGAACAAAAUCAGGGUCUGAUGAAAUGAAAGUGAGGUUAUGCGAGGGGGAGGUAACGUGUCUUCCUUUAAAUCAGGGGUCACCGACGUUUUUCCUUGCGAGAGCUACUUUUACAAAAUGAAAAUGGCCAAGAGCUACUCAUUUUUGUAGCAUUUAUUUUCAGAGCUUAUUUUAAAGCCAAACAAAGCGAAUAUGCUUGUUUUACCAGAACAUGAACAAAAUGCUGGUGUCCACAACUCACAUUUUGUAUUUCAAAAUGCAUUUCUUUCUACUGUUCUUUCAUUAUUAACUGAAAACCUGAAUGAAAAGCAGGCUUGCGGGCGCCUCAUGUGGUCAUGGGGGGGCUACCUACCGUUGGUGACCCCUGCUUUAAAUGGUCACUAUUUUUUUAUGACUUUUGUAGAGAUGUUGAGAGUUGCUAAAAAAAUAAAAAAUAAUAAAAAUAGGAUUGUAAAAGUGACUAUUUUGUUGUUAUUUCAUGUCUACAGGGUUCUAAUCAUGUCAAAACACGUAUUCAGAAAGUCAUAAACAGGUUUUGUAUGCUCUAACUACAAAAAUAUUCAGUUUAUUAAUAUUGAAUCCUACUUCAUGGAAAUUCACUUAUCGCAGUCGGGUUUGGAACCAAUUAACCAACAUGUUAACACGACAAAACACGCACCAUAUUGUACGCUAACUAGCGAAUGCACGUAAACCGAGACGUGAAUUUUCUCCGUUCACCAACUUUCACUCUAUAUUAAGCAUAACCAACUAUGUCAUAAAAGCAUAGCGGAAAUGGAGGUCAUGGGAAGUGUUUUGUUUUGUUACUGUGUCUUGUCUUAUUGUAUUCUAGUAAGGAGACAAAGAAAUAAAUGCAAAUACUCAUUAUUGUGUGGCAAACCAGCAAUAUAAACAAUAAAAUGCUGAACACUCGGAACAAUACCAGGGUGAUGUGCCUGGAGUGCAAGAGCGCCACCCUCGACCGUAUCUGCGGCCAUCCUACUUUUAAUUUUGAAUGAUAAAAGUGAAUCUCUGAUGAGGAAAUGUAAAUGAGGAGCAAUGAAAAACAUGGCAUUCAUUUAAUGGUCCUUGGUACAUGAGGAGGGAGGUGAAUUAGCUCAGGAUCAUGUUAACGCCUGGAGGACACACAAAACGGUGCGUAUUGUUUAUGCUUUAACGGACAUAUAGAAGGGUCAGAGGAUGAUUCGAUGAAGCCCAUCAGAAUAAGUGACCCUCAUCUCUCAUUAGGAGAGCUACAUUAAAAGGGGCUUCAGCAGUCUGUUGUUGCUAUAUGAGCACAUCCUUUAACACUGAUUGACACGGACCUCACACUUAUGAAGGCAUAUUGCUUAAAGCGCCACUCAGGACCACGCUAAUGCUUUUAGCAUGCACGCUACUCAUAUAGGGAAAAGUGAGUUAAUUCAUUACUAAGGUCUCCAUAGAUAUUUUGCACACAUACUUCUCAACUCCAAGGGAUUGGAACGCUGACUUGCAAUCAGCGUAAUAAUUGCUCACAGUGACAAUAGCUGAUGGUGUGGUUUUUAAAACAGGAACACCAUAACCAUGCAUUGAUUUAUUUACUUGCCCAUGGAGCGCUCACACAAUCCAUGGAAAAUGACAUCAGUCCAAGGCAUUUAUUUGAAAACCUUGCCAAAAAAAGGAAUGAACUUCUGCAGCAAAGGCCUCUAUCUUCUCCAAUUUAUUUAUCUACUUACCUCUCCAUCAAUCCAUCAGUCAAUCCAUUCAUGCAAUACCCACUUCUAUCUAGGAAAUAGGGAUGUAACAGUACGCCAUAAUCACAGCUGACUUUGUGCCAACUCCUUCCUUCUUAAGAGAAAGUAAGCCCAGCCACGAGUUCUGAUAUGUUGACAAUGGGAAAGAUCAAAACCUGCAAAGUAGAUUUUCUUACUGAACUCUGUCAACUCUGUGGACAGAAACAUCUGUUUCAAUUAAGAAGACAUCAAAGAGAAUGCAUUGCUGUUUUUGGACUAUGGAAGGACGGAAACUCCAAUACUGAGUUCUACAGAAAACCUACCUACAAACCAAUAACUUCUCUAGUACUCAACCUAGGGGUCAUCAGAACCCUCAAGGACAGUGCAGAGAAUAUCCUUACCACCGACAGAAGGGAAAGACACACAUUAGGAGGGCUCUUUCUAACUGUGGGUAUCCCAACUUGGCCUUUUUCAAAUCCGCCAGGAGAAGAAGGGCCACUACACCUGAGCCUGAGGAUAGAACCAGGAGGCGGAAUGUGGUGGUCCCUUACAUGGCUUGUUUGUCAGAAAAGACUCUUUGCUUAAUUGUCCCCAGCAACUAAGCGGAACUACGUUUUUC
This is a long non-coding RNA of Dunckerocampus dactyliophorus (ringed pipefish), 11760 nucleotides long. RefSeq lists it as uncharacterized. NCBI's taxonomy places the organism in Eukaryota, Metazoa, Chordata, Actinopteri, Syngnathiformes, Syngnathidae. The record is from RefSeq and is a predicted model, not a curated record. The transcript has 4 exons.